Long non-coding RNA from Aedes albopictus (Asian tiger mosquito), 630 nucleotides. RefSeq lists it as uncharacterized. The record is from RefSeq and is a predicted model, not a curated record. NCBI's taxonomy places the organism in Eukaryota, Metazoa, Arthropoda, Insecta, Diptera, Culicidae. The transcript is spliced from 3 exons.
CCGAAGCUCUACACUACAAAAAAUCCAAUGAUUUUAUUUAUGUGUGAAAACACAUAUUUCAAAGACAGAGUUCAUUCCGACGUUUAUAACCGCCACACAUAUACUUUGUUUGUGAGACUGCUACAGUUUUAUGUGUCAUCCCUUAUAGUAAAAAUCUAUAAAGCUUCACACAUAAUUCCAAAUAGUCGCUCAUGAACCUGCCGCCUCCCGUGAACUUUGUUGAUAUUUCUCCUUUUUUUUGAAGAUGGUCGAUCAGCUACAGAUAGGAGGUGAAAAUUUUUGCAGGGCGACGGAAAGGAUCUCAGCCAAAGAUUGAAACAUAAGAAUACAGGAUGCACGGUGGUGCAAUGCGGCUUCGUCACAGGGGGUUGCCGGUGUCAAGGCCGGAGUAGGCUGCUGUUGAUUAGACUCAUCGGCAAAAUUAACGACUGCAGAACCAUAUACGACGGUACAUCCAUCAAGUGCCACCAACAUUUUCAUCGCCACAAGCGGCUCCGGAGUUCGUACGUCUGCUGCUUGUACUUCCGGCCAAAAAUUACGGAAACACCGGCAGCAUAUCAACCAUGUUAUUGUUAUUCUAUGUUGCAAAUAUAUUGGUUAAAGUGAAUAAACUUUGAAGUGUUUUAUUGA